AACGAACGCUGGCGGCAUGCCUAACACAUGCAAGUCGAACGAGACCUUCGGGUCUAGUGGCGCACGGGUGCGUAACGCGUGGGAACCUGCCCUUAGGUUCGGAAUAACUCCCCGAAAGGGGUGCUAAUACCGGAUAAUGUCUUCGGACCAAAGAUUUAUCGCCUUUGGAUGGGCCCGCGUUGGAUUAGCUAGUUGGUAGGGUAAAAGCCUACCAAGGCGACGAUCCAUAGCUGGUCUGAGAGGAUGAUCAGCCACACUGGGACUGAGACACGGCCCAGACUCCUACGGGAGGCAGCAGUGGGGAAUAUUGGAACAUGGGCGAAAGCCUGAUCCAGCAAUGCCGCGUGAGUGAUGAAGGCCUUAGGGUUGUAAAGCUCUUUUACCCGGGAUGAUAAUGACAGUACCGGGAGAAUAAGCUCCGGCUAACUCCGUG
RNAcentral lists this ribosomal RNA (433 nucleotides) under uncultured bacterium. Its description in RNAcentral is "partial 16S ribosomal RNA". It matches the Rfam family "Bacterial small subunit ribosomal RNA", at positions 29 to 507 of the family's 1533-position model. The record is from RNAcentral.